RNAcentral lists this ribosomal RNA (1818 nucleotides) under Triticum aestivum (bread wheat). RNAcentral's name for it is "partial small subunit ribosomal RNA". The record is from RNAcentral. Lineage: Eukaryota; Viridiplantae; Streptophyta; Magnoliopsida; Poales; Poaceae.
GGCGCGAGGAGACUUCAGACUUGUGUUCGCGCGAUAGAGUGGGACCGGUGUGUUUGGAUUUGGAUUUGGAUUUAGCGGGUGGUCGGCGGCGGUGGGAAGUAGAGGCAGCUAAGCCAGUACGGCGACGUGCAGGGUGGCAGCGGGCGCGGUGUGCUUCGAGGGUAGGUCGGGCGCCACGUCGGGGUGGUGGUCGUCGGACUCCACUGCGGGGCAGCAGUCGAGUAGGUCGCUGGCUGCGGCGGCACACGGCUAAGCCAGCGCGGCGACGCGGAGGUGGCGGCCGCCGCGGUGCGGCGGUGGGCUUCGAGAACGGGUCGGGCACCACGUAGGGCUGCACAGCGGGACCGCUGCCGGCUGCACGAAUGGUUAAACUCGCCAACGAAGAGGCUGACGGCAAUCACGGGGGGUUUCGAAGGAAGGUGGGGCACCACGAAGGUAGGUGUCGGUUCCUCGGCGUGUUGGGGGACGUAGGGCUCCACGGUGGGUCGGCAGGGAGAAGGUGGAGGUCACUACCGAGGGGAUAGGGGGGAACAGUACGGGAGGAAACGUAGAUUGACAACGUAGGACAUCGCAGAAGUUAACUUAGAUACAUGUAUCCCUUUUGAGGUGUUCUCCGAAGACUUCAAACCAGUUGCGGAUGUACUCCUGGUUGGAUAUCGAGCAUACACGGCGACCUAUUCCGGUACAGAAAGCACCCACCACGAACCGACUAAACAUGUACCUAUGAUAAUUUCUUACCAUGUUUGUAUAUACCUAAUACUUUCCAACUAGGUUCGGUCGAAGUCUUACUCGAGUUCCGUAUGUCCUUCUGGCUCCUCCCCUACUUGUGUGAAAACUUGGUGAUGGAGGUAAAGACACCUCAAAGAGAGUUCCAGUCGAAUUGGUUAAGGUAAGACUUUUAGUACGGCGUAUAUAAGUGAAGAGCAGCUAAGUGUUUUUCUUUGUUUUUUACUUGAAUGUAUACGUUCGACUUUACGACCACUAGCACUUCUUGUCAGGACACUUACCGUAGUAGUUCGAGUAGCUUGUCGUAGUGUAGUGUUUGGUACAGUGCCCUUGUAGAAGGAAGAGUGGCACACAGGUCUGGUUUAUGUCGAAGCAUUGUUCCAAAGUAGCUAUUUGUACGUGUAUUUUUAACAAGCACCUGAAGAUAUAUAUAUAAAUCCAUCCUCCAGGAUAAGAAAUUCCUAGAUAAAAUAGGCGAACAAGUAACAUUUAUAACUAAACACGUGGUUUGAACUCAGUACGGAACAAGGUUGACUCCGUAGGGACGUGAUACGUAUAUGCACUAAAACAAAAUGACGAUCGUUACACAGGGUAAAUAAAAUAUGAAGAAUCUACAAGCGGAAUUUGACCACGUGUAUUAAAAGUCGUCCCGUUGAAGAAUCGAGUUGACUACCCACCUACAGGAAAGAAUGUCAGCACGUACGAGAUUGGUAAACAAGAAAGAACAGCACUACCUUCUACAUUGUGGUAAAUGAACGAUCACUGUUACCGUGCAGGUGUUCAACUAUGUUCUACAAGACUACUAGCCAAAACAAGUAUCGUACAAACUGUGUAAAGCACCUAUACCUUCAACUCCAGUCGAGCCACUAGCUUCCAUAAACCAGAGAAGGAAUAAUAGAACAUCAUCAGUUCACUAGCUUGUUAACCCAGAGAAUCCUCGAAUCGGCAGUAUAAAACAUUAUCUGUUGCAGAACAUACAACUGAAUGAAUAAAGGAAUAACCAACAUCGACUGAACUCACAUCGUUUAUUACUUAGAACAUAUAUACGAACUUACUUACAUAAUUAGUUACCAUAGAACACUACUUAGCUUC